RNAcentral lists this unclassified non-coding RNA (1214 nucleotides) under Amphibalanus amphitrite. RNAcentral describes it as "uncharacterized LOC122378887, transcript variant X2". The record is from RNAcentral. Lineage: Eukaryota; Metazoa; Arthropoda; Thecostraca; Balanomorpha; Balanidae.
CUCACAUGAUACAGUAUUUGCCAACAUUUCAACUCAACCCCAGCCAAGAUUUCCUACAUCAAAGGUGCCUCCGUUACACAAGGCAACAUUUCCAUUACAAAUUUCAACAAACGUGUUGAACAUUUUGGAAUCAGAGUCAGAAAAUUUUGGUCGUCAAAAUUUUACAUUCUGUAAAUUUACAGAGUUGAAUAAACGGUCAGAGUUAACGAUACCUGCCUUGCAUAAGUAAAUAUGCGAGUUCAUUCAACAUGACAGACAAAUUGCGAAGUAACAGCGACACAAAUUGCCACCGUCGUCUGGCCGGGACCGACUCGUGGGAGGACCUGAGCCGCGAGCUGCGCCACUCGCUCAACCGCUUCAGCUCGCCAUCCUUCCUGCACUCGCCGCCCAGUCCGCCGGAGCAGGCGCCGCCGUCGCCGCCGCCGCCGCCGCGCCACCAGUCGGCUGUCGUGCUCGGCACGCCCUUCGGCCGAGACAUCUGCGUCGGGCCCGACGACACGACCGCCGCGCCGCCGACGCCGCAGCUUCCCAACCCGCCGGCGGAGGCGCCCUGCGGCGGGCCGGAGUACGAGCACGACCGUCCCACCGCGCCGUACGACGCCUGGGACAAGGCGCUGCCCGCUCGGAUCGAGGUGCGCUACAUCCCCAUGUCGCUGCAGUGGUUCCAGGGCCGCUUCCACGACCGGACGCAGAUGGUGGGCAGCUUCAAGAAGGACUGCCGCUCGUGGCUGUGGAAGAACCGGCCGGCCGACUUCAAGGCGUUCACCGGCGAUGUGGUCGAGUCGGCGACGGUGGUGGAGCUGACGCCGUCGGCCCAUCUUCUGCCGUCCAUCACCGAGCACCAUCCCCCCAGCUAUGUCUGUGACGCCGACCUCGAUAUACCCAGCGAGUGAUAGAAAGGCGAGCUGGAUAUUACAGAGUGAGGAGGCAGGCGAGCUGGAUAAAACGGCGAGUGCGAUAGUUAGUGGUACCUCAGCAAGUGUCGAGUCGGCGGCCUGCAUAGUGGAUAUCCUAGUGAGACAGCCAGUAUCCCGGACAACCCCAGCGCGUCAGUCGGUGACCUGGACAUCCUGCCCAGUGAGACACUGAGACAUCUGUCGCAUAGAACUUGCUAUUCAUAUUCUUUGUGACUUGUCUGAUAACCAAUGUAUUUCAAUCUUGUUAUCGUACAUCAACGUUGCAUUCUUAUUUCUUAAUGAAGGUUGACUCAAUCA